GAGUUUGAUCUUGGCUCAGGAUGAACGCUGGCGGCGUGCCUAACACAUGCAAGUCGAACGGAUCCAUAUUGAAACCUAGUGAUGUAUGGAUUAGUGGCGGACGGGUGAGUAACGCGUGGAUAACCUGCCGUAUACAGGGGAUAACACUUAGAAAUAGGUGCUAAUACCGCAUAAGCGCACGGUUCCGCAUGGAACAGUGUGAAAAACUCCGGUGGUAUACGAUGGAUCCGCGUCUGAUUAGCCAGUUGGCGGGGUAACGGCCCACCAAAGCGACGAUCAGUAGCCGGCCUGAGAGGGUGAACGGCCACAUUGGGACUGAGACACGGCCCAAACUCCUACGGGAGGCAGCAGUGGGGAAUAUUGCACAAUGGGGGAAACCCUGAUGCAGCGACGCCGCGUGAGUGAAGAAGUAUCUCGGUACGUAAAGCUCUAUCAGCAGGGAAGAAAAUGACGGUACCUGACUAGGAAGCCCGGCUAACUACGUGCCAGCAGCAGCCGCCGU
RNAcentral lists this ribosomal RNA (502 nucleotides) under uncultured microorganism. RNAcentral's name for it is "bacterial SSU rRNA". It matches the Rfam family "Bacterial small subunit ribosomal RNA", at positions 9 to 524 of the family's 1533-position model. The record is from RNAcentral.